UGGCCAUAGAAGGGAACCUACUGGUUCAAGGAGACCUUGGAGAGGCAGGUGGGCAGGGGGUACAGCCCAUGGCAUGGAUCCCACCAGCUCCUGAAGACCAGCUCUCCUCCUGCCUGCAGAGCUGAGCCUUCCACCCCAGUAGAGAUGCAGACAGAGCGUAUGAAAUCCCAUGGAGAUGAGAUUUUCAGCCCUGGUGCUGGUCUCCACUGGAUUCCUUCCUCUACUUACUUGCUUGAGCACAGUGCUGAAGACCAGACAAUGGCUCUCAAGGAGCAGCGUGAGGGAGACGAGGGUGGCUGAGCACUGCCAGGAAGGACCGUGUGUGCUGCCCUAGCUGACCGUGAGCCCCAUGCCACAGCAGCAGUUCUGCCCAGCACUGCGGCGUGCUCCGGGCAUCCUCCCUUCCCUCAACUCACACUGGGAUCGUUGACUGACCCCACAGGUAACUGAUCUCCCAUUGUAUGAG
Cygnus olor (mute swan) is the source of this 466-nucleotide long non-coding RNA. RefSeq lists it as uncharacterized. The record is from RefSeq and is a predicted model, not a curated record. The transcript has 3 exons. Lineage: Eukaryota; Metazoa; Chordata; Aves; Anseriformes; Anatidae.